UAAGAAGAUACUUACCCAGCAGGAGACUCGAAGGAACUGGGUGGCGUUUUGUCAAUGAGCGAUUAUCAUCCAUUUUCACAUCUGAGAGGAUGGCCUCUCCAGCAGACAAUCAAGACUAAAAUCCAGAAGCUGCGCAGAGAGUAUGGGUGAAUUCCCUCAAACGUCUGCCUCACAACUGUGCAGUCACAGACAGACAAGAUAACAAGUCACAGUGUGUCCAGCAUGUGCAAGAGCGGUGUUAUCAACAUGCAGGAUGAUUCAUACGACCGGUGGCUGGAUUCUUUUCCUUGA
Molecule: long non-coding RNA, 291 nt
Organism: Monopterus albus (swamp eel)
Lineage: Eukaryota; Metazoa; Chordata; Actinopteri; Synbranchiformes; Synbranchidae
Exons: 3
Source: RefSeq, a predicted model, not a curated record